UGGAAUGGAGCGUCAUAGAGGGUGAGAAUCCCGUCUCUGACACGGACUACCAGGGCUUUGUGGUAUGCUCUCAAAGAGUCGAGUAGUUUGGGAAUGCAGCUCUAAAUGGGUGGUAAAUUCCAUCUAAAGCUAAAUAUUGGCGAGAGACCGAUAGCGAACAAGUACCGUGAGGGAAAGAUGAAAAGAACUUUGGAAAGAGAGUUAAACAGUACGUGAAAUUGGUGAAAGGGAAACGCUUGAAGUCAGUCGCGUUAGCUAGGAAUCAGCCUUGCUUUUGCUUGGUGUACUUUCUCGUUGACGGGUCAGCAUCAAUUUUGAGUGCUGGAAAAAGUCCUUGGGAAUGUGGCAGCUUUGGCUGUGUUAUAGCCCUUUGUCACAUACAGCAGUUGGGAUUGAGGAACUCAGCACGCCGCAAGGCCGGGUUUCGACCACGUUCCUGCUUAGGAUGCUGGCAUAAUGGCUUUAAGCGACCCGUCUUGAAACACGCACCAAGGAGUCUAUACAUGCCUGCGAGUGUUUGGGUGGUAAACCCUUGGGAGUAAUGAAAGUGAAAGUUGAGAUCCCCGUCGUGGGGAGCAUCGACGCCCGGUCUUGAACUUUUGUGACGGAUCCGCGGUAGAGCAUGUAUGUUGGGACCCGAAAGAUGGUGAACUAUGCCUGAAUAGGGUGAAGCCAGAGGAAACU
This 684-nucleotide ribosomal RNA is filed under the name uncultured Morganella. RNAcentral describes it as "partial 18S ribosomal RNA". It matches the Rfam family "Eukaryotic large subunit ribosomal RNA", at positions 191 to 863 of the family's 3401-position model. Lineage: Eukaryota; Fungi; Basidiomycota; Agaricomycetes; Agaricales; Lycoperdaceae. The record is from RNAcentral.